This is an RNA transcript of Mirounga angustirostris (Northern elephant seal), 8269 nucleotides long. It is a transcript of the gene named ZFP41 zinc finger protein, with no coding region annotated. Lineage: Eukaryota; Metazoa; Chordata; Mammalia; Carnivora; Phocidae. The transcript is spliced from 2 exons. The record is from RefSeq and is a predicted model, not a curated record.
AGCGGCGCCGGAAGGGGCGGGCCUCCCGGCGGGUACCGCGGCCCGGCUGCUCGGCUGGGGGGCUGCGGAGCCCUGGCGCGGGGGGAGGGGCUGCGGCGGGAGGGUCCGUCGGUUCCGGGCCCCCGACCUCCAGCCAGGGACUCGCCGGUGCCCUCCGGCGUCGCUUGGGCCCGCCCCCCAGCCCAGGGCGGCGGCCUCCCCUCCUUCGCCUCCCGGGCGCUGCGGGCAGGAGGGCGAGGAGCAGCUCGGAGCGGAUCGAGGUGAAGGCGGCGCCCCGGGGCCCUGCACGCUUGGCCGACGAGGCCCUGUCGUUGGCGGGGGUGCAUCGUGCUGCCCGUCGGGGCCCCUUUCCUCGGCCUCGACACAGCUCGUGUUUGCUGGCAGGCGGGGGGCCCGGCGGACUGUUGGGGUGCAUGUGUGCCUUUGGGUCCAAACCCGCCUGUAAUGCAGGCUCCGCCUGAGACCCAGGCUUCUGAAGGCGGGGGGACGGGCCAGCUGAGUGGGGUUUCCAGGGACCCUGGCUGCGGGGCCACGCAGAGCUUGGAGUUCAGGAGGCCUGGCCCAGAGAGGAAGGGAGCUCCUCCGAAGUUGCCGCGGGCACAGCACCCCAGCCCUUGGGGCAGGUGGCUCGAGCGCCUACGGGCCUGUGGAGUGGGGGACCUCGGGUCCACUCCGUUUUUGACUGUUUUGUAACUUGGUGCUCUCUCUGCCGUCAAGCACCUGCCAGCUUGAGUUGGGCAGAGGAGACGAAGAUCCGGAGUGAUUCCUGAGCACCAGUUCGUGCUGGCUCUGGCCUUGUAGCUAGGGAUGCAGGGGUGAAAGAGCCGUGGUCCUUGCCCUCAGUGCCGGUCCCGGCAGGACGCUGGAGCGCAGAAGAAGCCCACGCACGCCCUCCAGUCGGGGGACGCCUUCAUACAAGUUCUUGGUUUUCCUCGGUUUACUACCGAAACUAGACACCAGCCUCUGACUCCAGUGUACUUGCCUGGUGCGGUGAUCCUCUGCCCUCCCCAGCAGAGCCCCCCCCCCCCCCAUUUCUGCAUGCUCCUCGGCCCAGAUGAGCUUCCUUUACCCUCGGUUCAGGCUCCCACCUGAUGCUGAGAGCAGCCUCCUCCCAGAACCUGCCUCAAGUAGAGCCUUCCGGGCAACAUAGGCCUGAAUCCAGACCAAGUGUACCUAACCAUUUUUAUUUAGAAGAAGCCAGACUCAAAUUCCUUGUCAGGAUGGGAAAUCUCGACAGUCAUUUUAUUAUUGCCUCUGCAUAGGGGAGAAGAGGAAAGCUGAAGUGUACCCUUUUGACUUUAAGAGAGUUCAAAGUAUUUAUACCUUAAAGCCACUUGGGGGUGCCUGGCUGGCUCAGUCCGUGGAGCCUGCGACUUGAUCUUGGGGUCUUGAGUUCAAGCCCCAAGCUGGGCAUAGAGCUUACUUAAAACAAAGAAAGCUACAGUGUUGUCAGGUACAAAAGUCAAAGACACACAGAUUAAAAUGUUGAUGGUAAAUAAAUGGGAUGGAAAAGAAAAUUCAAAAAAAAAUACAUCACUGGGAAUAUUACCACCUAGGGCAUCACAUUUUGGGGUGGGACAGCCUGUCAGGGUUAUGGGCCUCCUAGUAGAUCAGGGUAGCCGUCACAGGCCACGAGAUACCUUUGCUAAGAACGCUGUUUGCAGGGAAUGUUGGAGGAUCAGAACAGGACCUGCCUUUGGAGUUUUCUCUUUAAAAAAAGAAGGCUUCUCAGUGUUGUGGAGAUCUCCCUCACUAGCAGUUAGAGUCUGAAGUUGCUCCAGGCUUGAUGCUGGAAUUCCAUUAGUUAGCAGUGAGAGAAGACGAGGGCAAGGAAGCUCAGGAAUAAUACAGAAACGAAAUAGAAGAGGGAUCUCAACAAAGAACUAGGAGCUGUGUGGGCGAUGCUCCUACAGACACCGGGGACUGUUGGGUCCUGUUUGAAUUUGUGGCUGAAUUGGGUGCUGUUAGGUGGAGUUAGGGACAGGGAACAUCAGGUGUUUCAGAGGGUGUACACAAGAUCUAGUUGAUGGAGGAGUUGGCUUUGGUUAAGGGCCCCAGGGAAGACUAGAGCUUGGUUAGGGAACAGGGAGUGGGGGCAGUGUUUGGUGAGUCAGGGAGGCCUCCCUGAGAAGGGCCCAUUCAGAGCUCUGAAGUGAGCGGCCAGCCCCAUGAACACCUGCUCUUGGCCCAUUUCUGGAAUCAGCCAGGCACUGAGGCAGGAAGGACUGGGUAUGUUUGAGGAGCCUAAAGGAAGCUGGAGGGGAGUGAGGAGUGGGCCAGGUCAGGCAUGUAUAGGGCUCAUAAGUAUGAGGGGAGCCACUGGGGGUCGGGGCAGGUACAUGAUAGGGGUUUGCUGGCGGCCAUAUGGAGGUGGACCAUUGGAGGAGGGCUGGGGCGCCCCGAGUUUGAUCCAUCUCCGAUCCAGGCUCUAGGUGACAGGAGCAUAACCCCCAAAGGGGCACAUGUGGGUCCUGCUGCUCCCAAAUACAGCAAGUGGAGAAGGAGGGAGAAAAUGGUGGGGGGAGAACCCCAAUGUGGGGACCACACGGAGUUUUGGUCCAUGGUCUGUAUCAGACCCCACUGGACACAGGCCUGGAGACCCCAUCCCCGGGCAGAGGGUUAGAGCGAGUGUUCCGUUUGGUCACAUCCAAACAGAACAGGCUGUUUGUUGAGCCUCACUGAGAGGCUCAUGAGGUGCCCAAGGGGAGCACACAAGCAGGGAAGGGGCCACGUUCCCUGUCCCCCCCGCCAUCCGUCCCUUAGCCGCUGCACCACAGCUCUGUUCCUCCCGCAUACCUGUGUGAUCUAACCUUCAUGGUCUGGCUUCUCCGGCAGCACGAGGAUUGGUGGUGUCCUCUCUGGUGCAGACUUCCUGCUCCGGAGGUCUCGUUACAAGCUCAGAAAAAUGAAGAGCUGUGACUAAAGGGAGAGCUUUUGGAAGAAUAGGAGAGUCUGGCCCCUGGCCUUUCUCCUUAGCCCUUCCUGGAUUCCAGUGGCCCUUCCUCUCUCCUGGGAACAAAGAAAGAUGGAAAAGCCCACGGGCAAAAAGAAGGCACAGACCCCAAAGGAAGAAGGAGAUUUGCUAAAGGACACUCCCAAAGGAGAGAAAGCAUCUGGGGAGAAAAAGGCAAACAAGAGGUCCACUUUGGCGAAAAAGUACAGCAAGGAAGCCAGCCUGAGUCCUGAAGAAGAACACGUAUUUGAUGCCUUUGAUGCUUCGUUUAAAGAUGACUUUGAGGGGGUUCCCGUGUUCAUUCCUUUUCAGAGAAAGAAGCCCUAUGAGUGCGGCGAGUGUGGACGCAUCUUCAAGCACAAGACAGACCAUCUUCGCCACCAGAGGGUUCACACGGGAGAGAAACCCUUCAAGUGUGAGGAGUGUGGGAAGAUGUUCAGGCACAGCUCCGAUGUCCCCAAACACCAGAGAAUCCACACUGGAGAGAAGCCCUUUAAAUGCAGCGAGUGCGGGAAGGCCUUUAACUGCAGCUCCAAUCUCCUAAAACAUCAGAAGACGCACACUGGAGAGAAGCCGUAUGAGUGCAAGGAAUGUGGGAAAACCUUUGCCUACAGCUCAUGUCUCAUUCGCCAUCGGAAGUGCCACCCACGGAAGAAGCACUGAGCGCGGGGAAGCUAUCUGCCGAGACGCGGUGUUUGUGCUGAUGGGAGCUGUCCCUCCUUCAGCAUCUGAUCGAUGCUGGGGGUCCGUGAGCUCAGCGCACCUGUGCCCGGGCAUCCCCCUCAUCAUCAGGAAAAUCAACCCAGUGGGGUAAGCAAGUGCUUGAGCGUGGUAAAGACCUUUCUGGUCCAGAGCAUCUCUGGAUCAAGACACCAUGAUAAUGGGGGAGGGGCUUGCGGCACGGGAGACUCUGGGGAUAUCGACAGUGCCUGUGGGGCUCGCGAGGCAGCAGCUGCUUGUGAGCGGCCCAGCGCCUCCCUCUGCGGCCUCCGCCUGUGGUGUCCACUGUGGUUUCAGCCCUCUCACCUGCUCCUUUGAAGACUUGAGUCUGCAGACUCUUGACCUGCCGGGUCAUCCCUGCACAGCCUGGCAGGAGGCCCACGGCCCUGAGCUAGGUAGCGGUACUCUGCGGUCGCGCCCCCAGCGCUGCGCUAGACACCUGCUGUCCCCACUCGGCUGGCCAUGGUGACAGUGGUUUGUGCUCUGGCGUCCCUCCUCGGGCUGCGGUGCCACCGCCAUCCCCCACCCCAUCCCCAGGAACUGCACCCUUUGUGCAUCCCCCUGGCCUAGCCCCCAUCCCAGGUGAGCGGCCUGACUCACCCAGGUGGAUCGCUCGGGACCUACAUACUGCCACCGUGGGAGAGUCCCGCCCUGGACAUGUGGUGGAGGCCCCAAGGAUGUGAGCACAGCUUCGAGCCAGGCUGCAUCUGCCAUGGGGGUCUUCAGACAUGAGGCAGUGCGCCCUGCCCCCCUGGGGAUCGGCUCUCCAGGUUAGUUUCACUUCCUCAUGCCUGGCCCCCAAGUUCCAUCUUAUCCCCCGGGCAAGGCCACAUGCUAUGCCCAGCCCUGGUUUCCCCCGGGAGUGGUCUGGAUGGGGCCCCGUGCUCUCAGAGUGGUGUGGUGUGUCCCAGAACUUCCCACAGUGUGAGGGGGGCCCGGUGACCGUCAACCAGGAGGUAAUGGGGCUUUGUACUAGGAAAAUGUUGAUGCCUACACUUUCAGCUCUUUGGACCCCCAAGAUAGCUUUACUCUUUGGGGAUUCCGUCCUGCAAGAAGGUCCUGAAUCGGGGGGAGACCCGUUUCGCCAUCGGGGGUCACAGACGCCAGAGGGCAGAGGCUCCCGGUGGAAAUGCUUCUCCAGGUUGGCAAGUGUUCGCUCCUGUUCUUUCUAAAAGCUGUGAUGUUAUGACACCUGAGCUGGACACCCCGCCCCCUCUCCCCAGCGCAGCGGGCCCUCCUACCUGAUGCAGCUCGCCCUAGGUGUGGCAGGAGAUCCAGGGGGACGCACAGUGGAUGGUUAAGGACGUUACUGGGACAUUCGGCAAACCUCGUGUCCACACUGUCCACUGGGUGGCAGAGCCGCAUCAGUUUCCAAGUUCCUGCUUGGCUUGCGGCCCCCCGGCCAUCCCAGACCUCGUCCUUGUCAAAGAUGCUCCCUAAGGUUUUCAGGGACACAGGAUCAUGAUGUCUGCAUUUUACCGUCAAAUGUUCAGCAGAGAAACAGAGUAACAAGACGUGUAUCCGCACUGAGUGAUGAAGCAAAUUGAACCCCGAGUCAGGCUGGCAGACGUUUUCUGUAAAGGGCCAGAUAGUAGCUGUUCUUGGCCCUGUGGCCCUAAGGCCUCUGUCCCCGCUCAGCUCCGCUGUGACAUGCAACAGUAGUGAACACAGUGAAUGAGCGCGGCCGUGUGCCAGCAGAGCUGUGUUUACAGAGACCAGCGGCGGCCGUGUUGGGCCUGUUGUAGGUGGAGGGCGCGUGAGAGUCAGCCUGACCCAUGUGCGCUCGAGUCCUCCAGGACUGGCUGCGCGGGGGGAAGCCAGUGCAGGAAGCCGCAGGAAACCCUGGGAGGGCUGCAGAGGGGCUCCGAGCAGCGAGCCCUGGUGCCCACCUUGGGUGCCGGAGCGCAGGCUGUGGACCCGGCACGCACGUCCAGGGGUGUCUGCGUCCUCUUCGGCGUGGUUUCGUUUGUCUUUACUGCGGCCUUCUGACACACCAGGACGCGUGUGUUCCCGUGCAGCGUCCGCCGUGAGAUCUGUAUCACGUGUUACAGCCCGUUUCCCCGUUCCCACAGCGGCAGGCAUGGUCUCCACCGCCGCCUACAGGUGCGGUGAGCAGAGGCUCACCGUGUCCUAAUGGGCGUGUGGGCUGUUUCUGGUUUCGGGCGCUAUAAAUAAUGCUGAGAUAAAUACCUUUUCUGCAUUUCGGGCUGACAGGAUGGGUCCCCAGACACGGAAUGCCAGGUGGAGAUCCUCGGGGCUGUGCGGGCUGGGCGCCCCAGCGGCACACGGACGGCAGGCUUGCCCUGGCCUCUCCGGCAGCAGGCAGUUUACCGUCAUGAGAAGAAUCACAAAAUCAAACUGAAAUCAGUGAGUGGCCUUUUCUGCCUCCCGUCGCUCAGGCAGCUUUGAGGGGUUUCUGUUGUUCUUCAAAUAAAACUCCUGUUCUAGGAAAAAAAAAAAAAACCUUCUCAAUAACCUGACUCAAAUUAAAAAAAAAAAAAAAACCUGAUGAGAGCUAUAAAACACUCAGACCUCACUGACACUGAAAAUAGGACUCGUCAGAGCUUCUCUGGGCCACUGAAGCCCACACGGGACGUGUAGCCCUAAGAGCUUUGGUCCCGUCAGCGGACGAGCUAGAAAUCAGAAGCUGAGCCUCCGGCUUCAAAGUUAUAAAAACAAUAGCGUAACAAACGCAAAGUGGCAGAGAGGAAAUAACAAAGAGCAGAGAGGAGCACAACCAGUGGGAAUGGAGGCUGUCUCAGGCAGGAAAGCGGUGGACAUUGGUUGUUCACAAGGACUGUUCAGGCUGACAUCGCCCAGCAGCAGCGUCCAGGAAAAGAGCAGGAGCCACCGAACCAUCACGAAUGCAAAGGGGAUGUGACAGCAGGUACGUCAGAGAUCAGAAGAGACAAAACUCGGAGCCAGGGAACGUGAGCACAGAUGAGGUAGGGAAGCCGGCCCGAGACCCCGUGCCCGCCGCACAGAGUGUGUCUGGAGUCUAGAGUCUUCCCCAAAGAAUGCAAGUCCAGGUGGCGCACAAGUGAGUUCAAGAACCCAUUCCGGUCCCCUACGGACUCAGAGAUUGAAAAGAGGAAACACCUCACCUUAUUUUAUGAGCUGGGACAGCCAGGAUGUCCGUGCUCUCGGCUGCAGAGGCUCCGAGCACGGGGCGGGCAAACCCCGUCCCGCAGGGCAGGAGCGGAGCGCGGACCGCGGCCAGAUGAGGCCUCUUUCAGGAAGGCCAGUUUGGCUCAAAACUGAUGUGAUUUCUCACAUCAACAGAUUGGGGGAGGGGCAUAUUAUCAUCUGAAUAGUUACCUGUGUGCCAGAUUGCACCAUCCACUCAUGAUAACAGACCUUCAUAAAUCAGGAAUAUAACAGAACUGUCUAAACCCCUACAGAACAUCUCCCAGCACGCUGAGCAGCACUGCGGCCGAGGGUCCCGUGUAGCUGGUGUCCCCUCCGCCCGCAGAGCACAAGAGGGCCGGCCUCACAGCUCCCCCUGCGCCCAGAGCCAGACCAGGAGGAAGACACACGUAGGAUUACGGUGGAAAACCCUGAGUGUGUUUCUCAGCAGGUGGUCCCACCGUCUAUGCAGAAUCUGAACACUGUCAGCAAGCACUGAAAUGUAAGGGCUGAGCAAGGUGUCGCGAGAGGGUCAGGGUCAGGAUCCCCGGAGGCCCAGGUGCAGAAGGGGAAGCAGGGGCUCAUCAGGGAAGGUUUGUAGUGGGCACUCGCGGUGGCCGUCAUGGAUGCAGCUCAAGUGUCCCUCACCAGACGAACAGACACAGGACACGUGGCGCUGCCAGACUCGGGCACCGCCGCCAGCCCUGAGGGAGUGAAGACCCAGGCUGCGACCCGCACGAGCCUGAGCCUCCGAAGCCCGGGGCUGAGCGCCAGAAGCCGGCCGGGGACACUGCUGUGUGACCCGUUCGCGGGAGGGGCCGUGGCAGGGGAGUUUAACGAGGGCAGGGUUGCUGCUGGGAAUGGUAAGAAGGCUCUGGGGGUAGGGCGUGGGGAUGGGUACGUAGCGUGGUGAGUAUUUAAUGCUGCUAAUUGUACACAAGCAGUUAAAAUAAUAAACACCAUGUAUAUUUCCCCACAGUGAAAAAAGUCCAUUGAAUUUGUUGUGCUGUUAACAAAAUGCAGUUUUAAAAAGCUAUCAAUUCACUUUAGCAACAAAAAUAGCAUUUCCUAGCAAGUUAAAGAUGUGCCAUACCGUGCUAGCCCAGAAAUUUCACUCAUUAAAAUACUGUAGUGAGCUCUUUUACAUGCGCAGUAAUAUAGUGCAUGUGGAGUGUCAGAAAAAUUGGAAAUAACCCAAAUGUGCAUCAACAGUGAAGUGGGGCGGAGGGAGAGAGGAGCCCGGCCCCCCUUGGGCGGAGGGCAGGCAGGCGGGUGUCUGGGUCUUAAACCGCAUGGACCGUGAGCGGGGCUUUGAGCUGCUCAUGCAUCACAUCAUAUUCACCCAAGGUUUACAUGCAUUUGAAAUGUUACAUUUUCUAACUUUCUGAACUUUUGGGGGACAUGAGCACUUUCCCCCUGGUUCUGUUGCCGUCCAAGUCUGGGGUGCAUGGCUCGAACCCCUGCUGCCAG